UAGUGAUAUAUUUUUGAAUAUUGAAUUAGCUUUGUUAUAAAAUUCUAUACACACAUAUUGAGACAUACAUACAUAAAAUGAAUUUGAAUUUGCAAUACCAUAAGUUGUUGACUUUAAAAACAGAUUUUCAAUAACUUUUUUAGGGUAAUUGAUGAACUGGAUUUAGUUUGAGAAUCUGUAGCUAUUUAUACCAGACUGAAAAUUCAUUUGAAAUAAGGCAAAGAAAUAUUGUAUUAAGAUCAGUUAUGUGUACUGUAUGUGUGUCCUCCAAGUCAACCUAUGUUGCCUCAUCAUGGUGGGUGUGUAGUUUCUGGGAGAAUGAGCUAUGAACACCAGGCCUUUACAACAGUACAAUAUAGUUACAUCAUCUGGGAUGUGAAGGUCAUCCUAGGUACCCUUUUAAAGCAGACAGGGAUUUAUAUAUGGAAGCAGUCACAUAAGAAAAAGAGGAAAUGGAUGAUUGCUUUAGCAACAACUGCAAAUAUAUCAUUUCAUACUGCAUGGGAAAAGGCAAUGGUAAGGCAUUCCUGUAACCAUGAAAGCCACCUGGAUAGACAGAAUAAAGUGAUUGAUGAUAUAAUGCCAGGUGAUGGGCCUCAUGGACCAAGUGCCACUUAAAUAAAUGAUAGCAAAUAUGAUAUUAAGAAUAGCUGAGGGUUUUUAAGUACUACUAAUGGUUUGAUGACAUGGCUAGAUGGAAACCACGUCUAGUUCUGGGCAUCUAGUUGCGGCAAAGUUGCAAUGUAGCAAAAUAAAACCUGAAGCUGAAAACAGAAUUACAGGGGGAACCUAGAAGAUAAUAAACAUGGGUAUGGAACAUCUCUACACAGUGAAGUCAUACAAUGAAUCAUCUACACAGUGAUAUCUCAUGUACUAAUGAAUUGAAAUAUCUGGAAUUGAGUAGUUUUGUGUUUGUUUUUACUAAGGAAAUUUAAAAAAACAAAAAAAUGGCAUUUCUUUCAUAGGAUUCUAGCAAAGAUGGGGUUGAGUCUAGUCAGUGACAAAAUGUCUUACGCUUCUGGGACAGCCUUACUUCAAUAAUUGAUACAGUAUCAAGGUUAACAAAUUUUAUGAUCAAGUUCAAUCUGAAAUGAACAGAAUGUGGAAACAAAAUAUGCUGCUUGUGGUUGAAUGGAAUGUCAUAGUUGGAAAAGGAGGAAAACAAUGUUCCCCUAGGAAACGAAAAUGAAGCAGAAGAAUUUCAUUUUUGACAAUCCAAUAAUUUUUUUAUUGUUAACACAUUCUUCAAACAACCAAAACUGCUACACAUUUGGACA
Molecule: long non-coding RNA, 1277 nt
Organism: Notechis scutatus (mainland tiger snake)
Lineage: Eukaryota; Metazoa; Chordata; Lepidosauria; Squamata; Elapidae
Source: RefSeq, a predicted model, not a curated record